AAACAUCAAACGUGAUCAUUCAAAAUCAAGCGAAAGAUAAACAUAGUUAGUGAUAAAAAGAAAAAAAGAUAAAUGAAAUCAUAAAACAAAAACUAAGUUCUCAUGAAAUGAGAAACAUUAUUCAAUGAAAACAAAACCAAAAUCUAAAAACUUUAGGCUUCAACCGCCACAUUCCACCAUCAACCUUCAUGUAAUAGAUAAUUAUUUUAAAAGUUCAAUAAUAUCCUAAAGUAUUUUAGAUACAUAUUAAGAAUUAAGAUCAUAUUUGGUAGAAGUUCUUUUUGUCAUUUUAUAUGUUUCGGGUUCUAUCGGAUAUCCAUUUAGGUUCGGGUUCAGUUUGGAUAAUACCCGUAACCCAAAAUACCAAAAAAACAGGAUCCAUUCGGUAUUUAUAUCGGGUUCGGAUCGGUUCGGAUUCGUUUUUAUCGGAUCAUGUUCGGUUCGGAUUUUCGGGUUCGGUUUAUUUGCCCAACCUUAAAAUUUUUCAUACAAAUAAAAGGAUUGAUGAUGAUGAGGUCAUCAGCUUUUAAGACAGAGUGCUGAGGUAGAGAUCUUUUAAUUUUCUUCUUAUGCUUUCCGUUUGGUGUGGUUCAUUCAAAUUAACUCUCAGUCAGUCUUCUCUGCUUAAGACUCUUCAUCACCGUAAUCUAUCCAUAAUUUUGCAGAAGCUCUCCAAUGUUUAAAAUCUCAUUCUCUAAGGUAAAUCCAGUGAGAAUGGACGAGCUUCACUCAUAGUUAUAAGUUCAAAGAUUACAGAUGCAUGCUCUCCUAUUGGGACAGGUGGUUGGUCUUGAGUCUUAUCUACAAUCUUACGUUCAUGCAUGGGAGAUCCGACGUUUUUAUAAUCUUUCUUCUUAUCCUUAUUGUCUUGCACAUCCUGUUUACGCUUCGGUGUCUUCUUGUCUUCAAACG
Molecule: long non-coding RNA, 912 nt
Organism: Brassica rapa (field mustard)
Lineage: Eukaryota; Viridiplantae; Streptophyta; Magnoliopsida; Brassicales; Brassicaceae
Source: RefSeq, a predicted model, not a curated record